UCGAGGAUCUUCGGCAAUGGGCGAAAGCCUGACCGAGCGACGCCGCGUGCGGGAUGAAGGCCUUCGGGUUGUAAACCGCUGUCAGUGAGGAGGAAGGCUCCGUGAAGAGCGGGGUUUGACCUAUUCGCAGAGGAAGGGUGGGCUAAGCUCGUGCCAGCAGCCGCGGUAAGACGAGCCACCCAAACGUUAUUCGGAAUUACUGGGCUUAAAGGGUGCGUAGGCGGUGCGGAAAGUAGGGUGUGAAAGCCCUCGGCUCAACCGAGGAAUAGCGCUCUAAACUACCGUGCUUGAGGGAGACAGAGGUAAGCGGAACUUCGGGUGGAACGGUGAAAUGUGUUGAUAUCCGAAGGAACACCGGUGGCGAAAGCGGCUUACUGGGUCUUCUCUGACGCUGAGGCACGAAAGCUAGGGUAGCAAACGGGAUUAGAUACCCCCGUAGUCC
RNAcentral lists this ribosomal RNA (442 nucleotides) under uncultured bacterium. RNAcentral's name for it is "bacterial SSU rRNA". It matches the Rfam family "Bacterial small subunit ribosomal RNA", at positions 355 to 796 of the family's 1533-position model. The record is from RNAcentral.